GACCCGAGCCGUGCCGGAGCUAACGCGUUAAGUAUCCCGCCUGGGGAGUACGCACGCAAGUGUGAAACUCAAAGGAAUUGACGGGGGCCCGCACAAGCGGUGGAGUAUGUGGUUUAAUUCGAUGCAACGCGAAGAACCUUACCAAGACUUGACAUCCUGCGAAUUCCGGUGAAAGCUGGGAGUGCCUUAGGGAGCGCAGAGACAGGUGGUGCAUGGCUGUCGUCAGCUCGUGUCGUGAGAUGUUGGGUUAAGUCCCGCAACGAGCGCAACCCUCGUUUUUAGUUGCCAGCAUUAAGUUGGGCACUCUAGAGAGACUGCCGGUGACAAAC
RNAcentral lists this ribosomal RNA (329 nucleotides) under Cylindrospermopsis raciborskii S01. RNAcentral describes it as "bacterial SSU rRNA". It matches the Rfam family "Bacterial small subunit ribosomal RNA", at positions 833 to 1163 of the family's 1533-position model. RNAcentral also lists the same sequence under 1 other name. The record is from RNAcentral. Lineage: Bacteria; Bacillati; Cyanobacteriota; Cyanophyceae; Nostocales; Aphanizomenonaceae.